This 1857-nucleotide long non-coding RNA is filed under the name Brassica napus (rape). RNAcentral describes it as "long non-coding RNA (BNAP_LNC008381)". The record is from RNAcentral. Lineage: Eukaryota; Viridiplantae; Streptophyta; Magnoliopsida; Brassicales; Brassicaceae.
AAUCCACUGUCUCUCUUCUUUCUUGGAACUUGUCUGAUCAUCAAAGCUCAUAAACCCUCUCAGAUUCUCACAUUGACUAAACCUAGUCAAGUCAAGUCAUUUGUAAUAAUGGAGACGACGCCUCCUCCUUACCACCGCCCCUCGAACACCAAAUCAGCCUCUCGUCUCGCUCGUGUCAACGAUUCGAAACAAGAAGAAGAAGCUACACAAAAUCUCUGUCUUGAUUUGGUUUGUCUGUUGUCUCCGAAGAGCAACGAUACUCCUACUCCUUGCUCAUCACCACCACCACCACCACUCCUAAGAGCCUCUUCUUCUCCUUCCCCUCUCCGCAGAUCGAAGACCCGUUUAGACGAUCGGCUCCAAAUGGAGGCCUCGGAGGAUGCUGCUGCUGCGGCGGUGGUGGUUCGGAAGCAGGGGAAGGGGAAAGGAGGCCAAAAGAGUCUUUUGGCUUCUCCAAGGAAUCCACGCAGAUCCAGGCGAAGGUCGGAGGCUGUGGCGGAGAGUGUGAUCGAAGAAGCCCCAAAGCCUAGAAAACGGAAGGCCAACGUCGCUCGCCCUAAGAAGGAACAAAAGCAAACUUCGUCUUCUUCGCAUCUUCCAAGUAACAAAACAACACUCACUCGCUCUCUUUCUUUCUUUAUUAUUAUCUGCUCGGUUCUGAUUAGAUUUUGUCUUUUGUGAAGAUGACGCUUCUUGUCAAAGCGAUCUGAACCGGGUUGGAGAGAUUAUCAGCGAUUUGGUUAUGUGGAGAGAUGUUGCGAAGUCGACACUCUGGUUCGGUUUUGGAUGUCUUUCUUUCCUUUCUUCUUGUUUUGCCAAAGGACUCAACUUUAGGUACAUACUGAUUUUACUCCUUUUCUAGACUCUUUUAUCAAAAAUCUGAAUGACUCAUCAAAGUGCAAUUAUGUUUUUGAAGCCUUUUCUCGGCGGUUUCCAAUCUCGGGCUUGUGUUACUUUGCGGCUCCUUCUUGUCAAACACUCUUUCUCAAAGGUACACACCUUCACUGUUUCUUCUUGCCUCUUUCGUUUGGCCUUCGCUUUGUAAUAAAACUUUUAUUUUAAUAUAAUUUGUACUGUUUUUUUUUUGAAGAUUUGUACUGUUUAUAGUGUGAUUCUUUGUAAUAAACUUGCCAUGCUUUAUCCGCCAACCCGGAUCGAGUCAUUUUCUUUAAAAAUUUUUUUUUUUUUGUAUAAUUUGCAAAUAAUUUUUUUAAUGAUUGAACCUACUUUACCAAAAUUUGCGGCAAAAAUUAUUAAAUAUAAUAAAAGUAUUUUAAUUAUAUAUUAAUUAUUUUUAAAAGUAAUAUAAAUUAUAAUUAAAAUAAAAUAAUAUAAAUAUUUGUAAUAUUUUAACGAAAAUAUAUUAUUUUUGAAAUAUUUUUUUUUCUUUUAAAUUUGCAGAUUGAAAGAUACCCGCAAAUCAAUUUUAGUCAUCCGCACACAUCCCGUUUAAAAUAAACUCAACUUGCACCAUAUGCGUAACUUAAAUUAUUUUAAUUCCCAGCCGUACUCUUAUCAUUCUUGGGCAUUACGCCGUCAGAAUAGACGGAGGAGCCAAGAUGCUGCUUGGCGUCAAGAUUCAAAUGAAAGGAAUCUUUUUUUUUAAGGAAAAUAAAUAUUUACUCCAACGGCUAUCUAAUCCACUGUCUCUCUUCUUUCUUGGAACUUGUCUGAUCAUCAAAGCUCAUAAACCCUCUCAGAUUCUCACAUUGACUAAACCUAGUCAAGUCAAGUCAUUUGUAAUAAUGGAGACGACGCCUCCUCCUUACCACCGCCCCUCGAACACCAAAUCAGCCUCUCGUCUCGCUCGUGUCAACGAUUCGAAACAAGAAGAAGAAGCUACACAAAAUCUCUGUC